Molecule: transfer RNA, 85 nt
Filed under: Felis catus (domestic cat)
Lineage: Eukaryota; Metazoa; Chordata; Mammalia; Carnivora; Felidae
Rfam family: tRNA
About the family: Transfer RNA (tRNA) molecules are approximately 80 nucleotides in length. Their secondary structure includes four short double-helical elements and three loops (D, anti-codon, and T loops).
Source: Rfam by way of RNAcentral
GCCCGGGCGGCUCGGUCGGUUGAGCAUCUGACUUCGGCUCAGGUCACGAUCUCGCGGUUCGUGGGUUCAAGUCCUACGUCGGGCU